Solanum dulcamara is the source of this 859-nucleotide long non-coding RNA. RefSeq lists it as uncharacterized. The transcript has 6 exons. Lineage: Eukaryota; Viridiplantae; Streptophyta; Magnoliopsida; Solanales; Solanaceae. The record is from RefSeq and is a predicted model, not a curated record.
UUACUUCCUUAUAGGACUCUUCUUUUGUAUGUUUGUUAUCUUAUAAGUAGUGUAGUCCUAGUUUGAACUUUACCCAGUUUCCACCAGGUAUAUGUUGCUAUAGGCAGUGGGACCUGCUAUGUUGAGGUGGAUGACAAUGGAUCUAGUGUUUCACGAGAUAGACCGGUGCUGAUGAGAGAAAUAUAUGGUAAUCUUUUUUCAAAGUGUUGAACUGAAGUUGAGCUGGAACAUACACAUUGGCACAUUGGACAGACUUUCGUAAACACCCUCACUGGUUAGUUUCUUUUACAUGGUCUAGACUUUUUGAUUUUUAUUGUUUCAUAAAAGUUGAAAAUUGUGCCAUGUAAGAGGAUGGGGAAUUAUAUUUUUAUUUCUGAUUUUGUUAAUGUUUUGAGGAUCAAUAGAAGUGGGCUGCUGAGAAUAUUGCAAGUCGUGCUGUUAUGCAAUUUUAAUCGCUUAGACUAGUUGCACAAAAGGCAGUGAUUGUUUCCACCAGGUAUAUGUUGCUAUAGGCAGUGGGACCUGCUAUGUUGAGGUGGAUGACAAUGGAUCUGGUGUUUCACGAGAUGGACCGGUGCUGAUGGGAGAAAUAUAUGGUAAUCUUUUUUCGAAGUGUUGUACUGAAGUUGAGAUGGAACAUACACAUUGGCGCAUAGGACUUUUAUCCCAGUUCGUGGAGAUAGUCGACAUUAAAAUACAGCCAUUUAGAUGAUAUGCAUGCUUUUCCAGCAAGCUUUGGCUUCUUGGCUUCAAAGGAGAGGCUCUAAACUAUAUUUCUGACUUUUCCUUGUUGGAAAUUGUUACUAAACUCACUGGAGGCCAAAUGAAUUCGUAAGGUUUUGAAGACAAGAUGUUGGUA